RNAcentral lists this ribosomal RNA (492 nucleotides) under uncultured bacterium. Its description in RNAcentral is "partial 16S ribosomal RNA". It matches the Rfam family "Bacterial small subunit ribosomal RNA", at positions 26 to 507 of the family's 1533-position model. The record is from RNAcentral.
GGGGGGGGGGGGGGGGGGGCGGGGGGGGGGGAGGGCGAGGGGCGGCGCAGGAGGAGCUUGCUCGUACGGGUGGCGAGUGGCGGACGGGUGAGGGAUACAUCGGAAUCUACUUUUUCGUGGGGGAUAACGUAGGGAAACUUACGCUAAUACCGCAUACGACCUACGGGUGAAAGCAGGGGAUCUUCGGACCUUGCGCGAUUGAAUGAGCCGAUGUCGGAUUAGCUAGUUGGCGGGGUAAAGGCCCACCAAGGCGACGAUCCGUAGCUGGUCUGAGAGGAUGAUCAGCCACACUGGAACUGGGACACGGUCCAGACUCCUACGGGAGGCAGCAGUGGGGAAUAUUGGACAAUGGGCGCAAGCCUGAUCCAGCCAUACCGCGUGGGUGAAGAAGGCCUUCGGGUUGUAAAGCCCUUUUGUUGGGAAAGAAAAGCAGCAGGUUAAUACCCCGCUGUUCUGACGGUACCCAAAGAAUAAGCACCGGCUAACUUCGUG